This 379-nucleotide ribosomal RNA is filed under the name uncultured eukaryote. Its description in RNAcentral is "partial 18S ribosomal RNA". It matches the Rfam family "Eukaryotic small subunit ribosomal RNA", at positions 592 to 976 of the family's 1831-position model. The record is from RNAcentral.
CAAUAGCGUAUAUUUAAGUUGUUGCAGUUAAAAAGCUCGUAGUUGGAUUUCGGAUGGGAUUUGCCGGUCCGUCGUUACGAUGUGCACUGGCCAGUCCUAUCUUGUUGUCGGGGACUAGCUCCUUGGAUUCACUUCCUGGGACUAGGAGCUGACGAGGUUACUUUGAGUAAAUUAGAGUGUUCAAAGCAAGUCUACGCUCUGAAUACAUUAGCAUGGAAUAACACGAUAGGACUCUGGCUUAUCUUGUUGGUCUGUGAGACCAGAGUAAUGAUUAAGAGGGACAGUCGGGGACAUUCGUAUUUCAUUGUCAGAGGUGAAAUUCUUGGAUUUAUGAAAGACGAACUUCUGCGAAAGCAUUUGUCAAGGAUGUUUUCAUUAA